Molecule: ribosomal RNA, 253 nt
Filed under: uncultured bacterium
Lineage: Bacteria
Description: partial 16S ribosomal RNA
Rfam family: Bacterial small subunit ribosomal RNA
Source: RNAcentral
UACGUAGGGGGCGAGCGUUGUCCGGAGUUACUGGGCGUAAAGCGUGCGCAGGCGGUUUUGUAAGCCAGAUGUGAAAUCCCCGGGCUUAACCUGGGAACUGCAUUUGGGACUGCAAGGCUUGAGUGCGGCAGAGGAGACUGGAAUUCCUGGUGUAGCAGUGAAAUGCGUAGAUAUCAGGAGGAAUACCGAUGGCGAAGGCAGGUCUCUGGGCUGACACUGACGCUCAUGCACGAAAGCGUGGGGAGCAAACAGG